GACGAACGCUGGCGGCGUGCUUAACACAUGCAAGUCGAACGGUGAAAGCGGAGCUUGCUCCGCUGGAUCAGUGGCGAACGGGUGAGUAACACGUGGGCAACCUGCCCCUCACUUCGGGAUAACUCCGGGAAACCGGGGCUAAUACCGGAUAUGACCUCCUUGGGCAUCCUUGGAGGUGGAAAGUUUUUCGGUGAGGGAUGGGCCCGCGGCCUAUCAGCUUGUUGGUGAGGUAGUGGCUCACCAAGGCGACGACGGGUAGCCGGCCCGAGAGGGCGACCGGCCACACUGGGACUGAGACACGGCCCAGACUCCUACGGGAGGCAGCAGUGGGGAAUAUUGCGCAAUGGGCGAAAGCCUGACGCAGCAACGCCGCGUGCGGGAUGACGGCCUUCGGGUUGUAAGCCGCUUUCAGCAGGGAAGAAGCCGCAAGGUGACGGUACCUGCGGAAGAAGCACCGGCUAACUACGUGCCAGCCGCCGCGGUAA
This 485-nucleotide ribosomal RNA is filed under the name uncultured bacterium. RNAcentral's name for it is "partial 16S ribosomal RNA". It matches the Rfam family "Bacterial small subunit ribosomal RNA", at positions 28 to 523 of the family's 1533-position model. The record is from RNAcentral.